UCCAUGAUGCAUAUGAAGAAGAGGAAUAAGAUGCUUUGUUGUGCCACUGAACAGUUAGAAGUUACUCAAGACUUGAGCAAAGAAUGGAUAACAACUAAGUUGGGGCUCCGAAAUUCUCAAAGAUCUUUAGAGAAGAGCCAGAAAUCAUUUUGACUGGGGCUUCUGUGCUUUUGCCAGACCUCCAGCCCUCUUGAGACUUAAGCUGACAUGAAAUUGUCGUUGCAAUGCUU
Long non-coding RNA from Pseudopipra pipra, 230 nucleotides. RefSeq lists it as uncharacterized. Lineage: Eukaryota; Metazoa; Chordata; Aves; Passeriformes; Pipridae. The record is from RefSeq and is a predicted model, not a curated record. The transcript is spliced from 3 exons.